This 980-nucleotide ribosomal RNA is filed under the name Bacillus subtilis. RNAcentral describes it as "bacterial SSU rRNA". It matches the Rfam family "Bacterial small subunit ribosomal RNA", at positions 209 to 1190 of the family's 1533-position model. The record is from RNAcentral. Lineage: Bacteria; Bacillati; Bacillota; Bacilli; Caryophanales; Bacillaceae.
UUUCGGUUCCCCUUUUCAAAGGGCCCCGGGGCCAUUAACUAAUGGGGAGGUAACGGCUCCCCAAGGAGGAGUGGUAGCCCACCCGGAGGGGGAUUCGCCCCACUGGGAAUGAACCCCGCCCCCAAUUUUUUGGGGGGGCGCCGUUGGGAUUUUUCCGCAAUGGAGAAAAUCUGAAGGAGACACCCCCCGUUAAUGAUAAAGGUUUUCGGAUCGAAAAGCUCUGUUGUUAGGAAAAACAAGUCCGUUCGAAUAGGGCGGUACCUUGGCGGUACCUAACCAGAAAGCCACGGCUAACUACGUGCCAGCAGCCGCGGUAAUACGUAGGUGCCAAGCGUUUUCCGGAAUUUUGGGCGUAAAGGGCUCGCAGGCGGUUUUUAAGUCUGAGAGAAAGCCCCCGGCUCAACCGGGGAGGGUCAUUGGAAACUGGGGAACUUGAGUGCAGAAGAGGAGAGUGGAAUUCCACGUGUAGCGGUGAAAUGCGUAGAGAUGUGGAGGAACACCAGUGGCGAAGGCGACUCUCUGGUCUGUAACUGACGCUGAGGAGCGAAAGCGUGGGGAGCGAACAGGAUUAGAUACCCUGGUAGUCCACGCCGUAAACGAUGAGUGCUAAGUGUUAGGGGGUUUCCGCCCCUUAGUGCUGCAGCUAACGCAUUAAGCACUCCGCCUGGGGAGUACGGUCGCAAGACUGAAACUCAAAGGAAUUGACGGGGGCCCGCACAAGCGGUGGAGCAUGUGGUUUAAUUUGAAGCAACGCGAAGAACCUUACCAGGUCUUGACAUCCUCUGACAAUCCUAGAAAUAGGACGUUCCCUUCGGGGGCAGAGUGACAGGUGGUGCAUGGUUGUCGUCAGCUCGUGUCGGAGAUGUUGGGCUAAGUCCCGCAACGAGCUCAACCCUUAUCCUGGGCAGCCAGCACUCUAGAGGGCAAUCCAGGUCAGAACGAACGCUAGAGUUUGAUCAAGGUCAGAACGAACGCUAGAG